GAUGAACGCUGGCGGCGUGCUUAACACAUGCAAGUCGAACGAAGCAUUUGCGACAGAUUUCUUCGGAUUGAAGUUGUUUAUGACUGAGUGGCGGACGGGUGAGUAACGCGUGGGUAACCUGCCUCAUACAGGGGGAUAGCAGCUGGAAACGGCUGGUAAUACCGCAUAAGCGCACAGUACCACAUGGUACAGUGUGAAAAACUCCGGUGGUAUGAGAUGGACCCGCGUCUGAUUAGCUAGUUGGCGGGGUAACGGCCCACCAAGGCGACGAUCAGUAGCCGACCUGAGAGGGUGACCGGCCACAUUGGGACUGAGACACGGCCCAGACUCCUACGGGAGGCAGCAGUGGGGAAUAUUGCACAAUGGAGGAAACUCUGAUGCAGCGACGCCGCGUGAGUGAAGAAGUAGUUCGCUAUGUAAAGCUCUAUCAGCAGGGAAGAUAGUGACGGUACCUGACUAAGAAGCUCCGGCUAAAUACGUGCCAGCAGCCGCGGUAAUACGUAUGGAGCAAGCGUUAUCCGGAUUUACUGGGUGUAAAGGGAGUGUAGGUGGCCAGGCAAGUCAGAAGUGAAAGCCCGGGGCUCAACCCCGGGACUGCUUUUGAAACUGCAGGGCUAGAGUGCAGGAGGGGCAAGUGGAAUUCCUAGUGUAGCGGUGAAAUGCGUAGAUAUUAGGAGGAACACCAGUGGCGAAGGCGGCUUGCUGGACUGUAACUGACACUGAGGCUCGAAAGCGUGGGGAGCAAACAAGAUUAGAUACCCUGGUAGUCCACGCCGUAAACG
Molecule: ribosomal RNA, 782 nt
Filed under: uncultured bacterium
Lineage: Bacteria
Description: bacterial SSU rRNA
Rfam family: Bacterial small subunit ribosomal RNA
Source: RNAcentral